This is a non-coding RNA of Danio rerio (zebrafish), 82 nucleotides long. Lineage: Eukaryota; Metazoa; Chordata; Actinopteri; Cypriniformes; Danionidae. The record is from Rfam.
GUCUGGAUGGCCGAGCGGUCUAAGGUGCUGCAUUCAAGUUGCAGACCCCCUUGAAGUGUGGGUUUGAAUUACACUUCUCACA